GUGCUCGCUUCGGUAGCACAAAAACUAAAAUUGGAACGAUACAGAGAAGAUUAGUAAGGCCCCUGAGCAAGGAAGACAUGCAAAUUCAUGAAACAUUCCAUAUUUUU
Molecule: small nuclear RNA, 107 nt
Filed under: Carlito syrichta (Philippine tarsier)
Lineage: Eukaryota; Metazoa; Chordata; Mammalia; Primates; Tarsiidae
Source: RNAcentral